RNAcentral lists this long non-coding RNA (648 nucleotides) under Daphnia pulicaria. Its description in RNAcentral is "uncharacterized LOC124316062, transcript variant X3". Lineage: Eukaryota; Metazoa; Arthropoda; Branchiopoda; Diplostraca; Daphniidae. The record is from RNAcentral.
GUUUUCUCGUGCUUUCCAAGAUUCCAGCAAUUCUUAGUGUUCUCAAUUUGUCUCUUUAUUGUUAGGUUUAGUCGAUGUAAAUUUUGCACCUAGACUUGACCGAAGAAUUGAAUUGUGUGAGGUUGUGCGGACAAGUAAAAGGGAACUUAUAGGCUAUGCUUCCAGCAAACUGGUGGAGGACAACUGACAAGAUACCAAAAUCGAAAACAAGCAGUCGAAUUGGUGAGCGAGGUGUCAGAAGAGAAAAGAUCUCGUGUCGAACAAGGCAUAGACCUAAUCCUAAUUGCAUCUGCUACUCCUAAUGCCACCGUCCAAGUAUAGUAAUCGAGACCUAGCAAAUAAAGAAAAUCCAGUGACUACCGACGUCAACUAACAAAUCACAAUUUCUAAUCGAUCGUCGAUCAGCGUGGAAGCACCACACAAGAUGAUGAAAACUUCCGGGGAAAAAAAAAUCUAAACUUCAUUCGUGUUGCUAAAUGCUAAUAGACAAUCCGAUUUAUCCUUCUAGUUGUUAACAAGCAGUGACGCAGUACUAUUGUGAGUGUUGGCUUUUUUUGAAUUCGAAAUUCAGAGACCAAGGUGUAGCGUAGAACUAGAUGGCGCAUGGCGAAUAAGUUUCAGCCACUGAUAGCAGACAGCAUAUUACAC